GUGCUAUAUUAUAAAACAAAUAUAAAACAUUUUUUCCGUAUUGAUAUACAGUAAUAUCAACACUCGUGGAAAUUGUGAAAACUCGAAAUUGUGUGAAAACACUCCGCCCUGCGGGCGUCGUGUUUCCACACAAUUUCUCGUUUUCCCAAUUUCCACUCGUGUUGAUAUAACUGUAUAUCAACACGGAAAAUGUUUUAUAUUUGUUAAAUAGCUCGUUGACCGCCGCAUCUAAUUUAG
Molecule: non-coding RNA, 237 nt
Organism: Paramuricea clavata
Lineage: Eukaryota; Metazoa; Cnidaria; Anthozoa; Malacalcyonacea; Plexauridae
Source: the annotation of a GenBank genome assembly